RNAcentral lists this ribosomal RNA (707 nucleotides) under Salmonella enterica. RNAcentral describes it as "partial 23S ribosomal RNA". It matches the Rfam family "Bacterial large subunit ribosomal RNA", at positions 1 to 739 of the family's 2925-position model. Lineage: Bacteria; Pseudomonadati; Pseudomonadota; Gammaproteobacteria; Enterobacterales; Enterobacteriaceae. The record is from RNAcentral.
GGGUUGUGAGGUUAAGCGACUAAGCGUACACGGUGGAUGCCCUGGCAGUCAGAGGCGAUGAAGGGCGUGCUAAUCUGCGAUAAGCGCCGGUAAGGUGAUAUGAACCGUUAUAACCGGCGAUACCCGAAUGGGGAAACCCAGUGUGAUUCGUCACACUAUCAUUAACUGAAUCCAUAGGUUAAUGAGGCGAACCGGGGGAACUGAAACAUCUAAGUACCCCGAGGAAAAGAAAUCAACCGAGAUUCCCCCAGUAGCGGCGAGCGAACGGGGAGGAGCCCAGAGCCUGAAUCAGCAUGUGUGUUAGUGGAAGCGUCUGGAAAGGCGCGCGAUACAGGGUGACAGCCCCGUACACAAAAGCGCAUGUGCUGUGAGCUCGAUGAGUAGGGCGGGACACGUGGUAUCCUGUCUGAAUAUGGGGGGACCAUCCUCCAAGGCUAAAUACUCCUGACUGACCGAUAGUGAACCAGUACCGUGAGGGAAAGGCGAAAAGAACCCCGGCGAGGGGAGUGAAAAAGAACCUGAAACCGUGUACGUACAAGCAGUGGGAGCACAGGUUUACCUGUGUGACUGCGUACCUUUUGUAUAAUGGGUCAGCGACUUAUAUUCUGUAGCAAGGUUAACCGUAUAGGGGAGCCGGAGGGAAACCGAGUCUUAAUUGGGCGUUAAGUUGCAGGGUAUAGACCCGAAACCCGGUGAUCUAGCCAUGG